This 796-nucleotide long non-coding RNA is filed under the name Salmo salar (Atlantic salmon). RNAcentral's name for it is "lncRNA (ENSSSAG00000084602.1)". Lineage: Eukaryota; Metazoa; Chordata; Actinopteri; Salmoniformes; Salmonidae. The record is from RNAcentral.
GUGAGUUACAGCGAAUUAUAUAUAGUGUUUGAAGCCACCGCGCCCACAUCUUGGCACUCCUAUCAUAGUAAAAAAAUGUGUUGGAAGUAAUAGAAAUACAUUUAUUAAUGUCUACAUUUAUUUUUGCCAUGUUUAUUCUAUUAGUCACCUUAAUGCAUACUUUAAAUUAUAUUAUGUGAGCUUAACAUAAAAUAUAUAGAUGUUUAGUUUCCCCUUAAAGUAUACAUUUUAGAAAAUACACAUUUUAUUGUCCCCACUACAACAACAAAAAUACAUGCAAUUUUGUCUUUGAAACAUUUCAUUGAAAUCCUUUGAAUUCCAUUGGCAGACUGAUUCUUCUGGGGAGUGCCAAUAUGGCCGACCUGUGGCUUCAAAGCCGCUCAUUGGCUAAUACAUAGCAUCUUCAAAUCAGGGUUUAUAUGGGUUUUUCUAUAAACUAGGGUUCCAGUGAGGAUUUCCUACACUGGACAACUUGUUACAGCUGUUCCUGUGUCUGUUCAACCUGGUCCCAGCCCUGAAUGCAGAGGGCUCCGACAGCACCCGACUCCCACCGGCCCUGACUCAGAAACAGCCUCUCUAUACGGCCCUGGGUCAUCAGCCUGACUAGGGGCCAACAGGCCAAGGCAGCAUAGCACCUGGACACCUCUAGGAGUCCUGUCAGUGGACACCUGCAGGAUUCUUUUACAAAUCCAUCCUUUCCUGAUUCCUGGUGUCGUGUAGCAAUUGUAACACCUCUCAAUAACUUUAAGGACACCCAAAUUAAUGAAUCAUGACAAUGGUCAAAUCAAUUACAAAG